This is a long non-coding RNA of Lagenorhynchus albirostris (white-beaked dolphin), 1381 nucleotides long. RefSeq lists it as uncharacterized. The record is from RefSeq and is a predicted model, not a curated record. The transcript is spliced from 4 exons. NCBI's taxonomy places the organism in Eukaryota, Metazoa, Chordata, Mammalia, Artiodactyla, Delphinidae.
CUGAGAUCAGGAGCCACGCGCAUUUGCAUUCUCUCAGCUCAGCGCUCGCUCCAAUGAAGACAGUCAGCGUUACCCGAUGGAGUGAGCAGAUGCAUGAGGGAAAUGGAAAAAGAAUAAGAACAUCCAAGAAUUUCGACUCUAAGUUCCAUGACGACUCCCUGUCAAAGCUGUGUUCCUCUUGCUUCUGGUUUCCAGUUGACAGACAAGUGUUGCCAAGUGGAAUUACAGAGCAGCUUAAUAUAGGAGAUGUGUGAAGAGAGCAAAUAGUAAGAGUGGGAGAGAAAGAGAAGUUCAAAGGUAUCUGGACCUCUGGACCUCCCACCUUGAUCCAUUAUACCAAUGACAGCAUGCUAAUGGGACUGUCUGAGCAAGAAAUGGCUAGCACACUGGAGACCCUGGAAAGAAACAUGUACUCCAGAGGUCGGGGAGUAAACCCCAUCAAGACUCAGGAUGCGUGCCACACCAGUAAAGUUUUUAGGGGUCCAGUGGUUGGGGCAUUCUGGGACAUUCCAUCCAAGGAAAGGAAAGCACAAAUUAUUGCAUCUUGAAACUAUCAUAAUGAAGAUGCUUUUCUUGGGAAACAGCAAGAGUGCCAUUAAAUGAUAAGCUCGGAUUGUUGCUUAGGCAUUUGGGGCGUCUUGUGCCAGAGGACAAGCAAGCAAGAAGAGUCACCAUCCUUCCUUGCUUCUCCACCACGCCCCUCCCCCACCCCAUGUACACACAAAACAACUCAACCACCCUCAAGGUCCACGGAGGCCUCUUCUCACCUGCUGGAAUGUGUCUCUCUAGGUAUGCACAUGCAUCACCUCCCUCUCCAUCCUCCUUCCGACGCUGCCAACCCUGCCCUCAUCUCUAUCCUGAUCACCUCCUUUGUCUUCAUCAUGUGGCUUAACAUUAUCUGGCCAGAUAUUACAUUAGCUUGUUUUUAGGUAUGUUUACUAUUUAUCUCUCCCUGGCUAGAAAGGAAGCUAGCUGCAUGUGAUCAGAGACUGUCCUGUUUGUAAUCCCAGGACCUAAAACAGUAACUGUUGGCAUUAAACAUUCAGUAAAUAUUUAUUGGAUAAGUGAAUGAGUUUGUUGACUGAAUACACUUCUUCCAUAAAGGUACCAAACUUGCUAAUACUACAUGUGCUUUACCUACGCACAGAGAUCUUUUCUUAUAGUAGAUUUUCUCAGGACGGGUAUGGUGCUGGCCACUGAGGAUGAAACGGGGGCUGGCAGCCAGGAAGUUAUCAAUCAUGUCAUCCAAGUCCAUGCUCAAGUCCAAGCUGCCUACAAAUACCAGAACCUGGGUUAGCAAUUCUGUAGGUUCACUGACCUGCACCCACCCCACUCCACCCCUCCAAAACCAGGACCCCAGACAAAUGAGGAGACCCCUCAA